CCUACGGGUGGCAGCAGUCGAGAAUCAUGCACAAUGGGGGAAACCCUGAUGGGGCGACGCCGCGUGGGGGAAGGAAGGUCUGCGGAUUGUAAACCCCUGUCAUGUGGGAGCAAAUUAAAAAGAUAGUACCACAAGAGGAAGAGACGGCUAACUCUGGGCCAGCAGCCGCGGUAAUACAGAGGGCUCAAGCGUUGGUCGGAAUCACUGGGCGUAAAGGGUGCGUAGGCUGUUUCGUAAGUCGGGUGUGAAAGGCGCGGGCUCAACCCGCGGACGGCACAUGAUACUGGGAGACUAGAGUAAUGGAGGGGGAGCCGGAAUUCUCGGUGUAGCGGUGAAAUGCGUAGAUAUCGGGAGGAACACUCGUGGCGAAGGCGGGUUCCUGGACAUUAACUGACGCUGAGGCACGAAAGCCCGGGGAGCGAAAAGGAUUAGAUACCCCUGUAGUC
RNAcentral lists this ribosomal RNA (446 nucleotides) under uncultured bacterium. RNAcentral's name for it is "partial 16S ribosomal RNA". It matches the Rfam family "Bacterial small subunit ribosomal RNA", at positions 338 to 795 of the family's 1533-position model. The record is from RNAcentral.